GACGAACGCUGGCGGCGUGCCUAAUACAUGCAAGUCGAACGCUUCUUUCCUCCCGAGUGCUUGCACUCAAUUGGAAAGAGGAGUGGCGGACGGGUGAGUAACACGUGGGUAACCUACCCAUCAGAGGGGGAUAACACUUGGAAACAGGUGCUAAUACCGCAUAACAGUUUAUGCCGCAUGGCAUAAGAGUGAAAGGCGCUUUCGGGUGUCGCUGAUGGAUGGACCCGCGGUGCAUUAGCUAGUUGGUGAGGUAACGGCUCACCAAGGCCACGAUGCAUAGCCGACCUGAGAGGGUGAUCGGCCACACUGGGACUGAGACACGGCCCAGACUCCUACGGGAGGCAGCAGUAGGGAAUCUUCGGCAAUGGACGAAAGUCUGACCGAGCAACGCCGCGUGAGUGAAGACGGUUUUCGGAUCGUAAAACUCUGUUGUUAGAGAAGAACAAGGACGUUAGUAACUGAACGUCCCCUGACGGUAUCUAACCAGAAAGCCACGGCUAACUACGUG
This 508-nucleotide ribosomal RNA is filed under the name uncultured bacterium. Its description in RNAcentral is "partial 16S ribosomal RNA". It matches the Rfam family "Bacterial small subunit ribosomal RNA", at positions 28 to 507 of the family's 1533-position model. The record is from RNAcentral.